ACCUACGGGGCGCAGCAGUAGGGAAUUUUCGUCAAUGGGCGCAAGCCUGAACGAGCAAUGCCGCGUGAACGAGGAAGGUCUUCGGAUCGUAAAGUUCUGUUGAAGGGGAAAAAGAGCGGAGAGAGGAAAUGGUCUCCGAUUGAUAUUACCCUUCGAGGAAGUCACGGCUAACUACGUGCCAGCAGCCGCGGUAAUACGUAGGUGGCGAGCGUUAUCCGGAAUGAUUGGGCGUAAAGGGUGCGUAGGCGGCCUGCUAAGGCUGGAGUGAAAGGUACCGGCUCAACCGGUACAGGCUCUGGAAGCUG
Molecule: ribosomal RNA, 305 nt
Filed under: uncultured bacterium
Lineage: Bacteria
Description: bacterial SSU rRNA
Rfam family: Bacterial small subunit ribosomal RNA
Source: RNAcentral